This 433-nucleotide ribosomal RNA is filed under the name uncultured bacterium. Its description in RNAcentral is "partial 16S ribosomal RNA". It matches the Rfam family "Bacterial small subunit ribosomal RNA", at positions 29 to 507 of the family's 1533-position model. The record is from RNAcentral.
AACGAACGCUGGCGGCAUGCCUAACACAUGCAAGUCGAACGAGACCUUCGGGUCUAGUGGCGCACGGGUGCGUAACGCGUGGGAACCUGCCCUUAGGUUCGGUAUAACUCCCCGAAAGGGGUGCUAAUACCGGAUAAUGUCUUCGGACCAAAGAUUUAUCGCCUUUGGAUGGGCCCGCGUUGGAUUAGCUAGUUGGUAGGGUAAAAGCCUACCAAGGCGACGUUCCAUAGCUGGUCUGAGAGGAUGAUCAGCCACACUGGGACUGAGACACGGCCCAGACUCCUACGGGAGGGAGCAGUGGGGAAUAUUGGACGAUGGGCGCAAGCCUGAUACAGCAAUGCCGGGUGAGUGAUGAAGGCCUUAGGGUUGUAAAGCUCUUUUACCCGGGAUGAUAAUGACAGUACCGGGAGAAUAAGCUCCGGCUAACUCCGUG